GAUUUGGCAAGGCGAAACCUGACCCACCAUGCCGCGUGAGGGAGAAGCUCUCGGGUUGUAAAACUCUUUUUGCCGGGGAAAAAAAGGCAUGGUACUUGUAGACGAAUCAACGGCACCUGGCGAAUAAGCACCGGCUAACUUCAUGCCGGCGAUCGCGGUGUUAUGGAGGGUGCUUGCGUUGUCCGGAUUUAUUGGGGUUUUAUGGUGCGUGCGUGGCUUUAUCGGUCCUCAGUGAAAGGGAGUGGCUGAACCCCUCGCUGUGCCCUGGAUACUGGGAGGGACGAAUGUCCCGGAGGACCGUGGAACUGCUGGUGUAUCGGGAAAAACACUAGAUACCAUCGCGAACUGCUAUAGCGUAAGCGACCCGCUUGAGACGACACUUACACUAACGAACGGAAUUAUGUGCCGCAAUCAUCCUUAGAUACCAUGAUAGUCCCCACUGGUUACGAUUAUCACUCCCUGUUGUGGCAUAUUCAUCACCGUCUUUGCCCCAGCGGUAAAGUCCCCACCUGGGGAGUACACCCGAAAGAAUGAAAGGCAAAAGGGAUGACGGGGG
This 556-nucleotide ribosomal RNA is filed under the name uncultured Bacteroidota bacterium. RNAcentral describes it as "bacterial SSU rRNA". It matches the Rfam family "Bacterial small subunit ribosomal RNA", at positions 359 to 919 of the family's 1533-position model. Lineage: Bacteria; Pseudomonadati; Bacteroidota. The record is from RNAcentral.